This 253-nucleotide ribosomal RNA is filed under the name uncultured bacterium. Its description in RNAcentral is "partial 16S ribosomal RNA". It matches the Rfam family "Bacterial small subunit ribosomal RNA", at positions 524 to 776 of the family's 1533-position model. The record is from RNAcentral.
UACAGAGGUCCCAAGCGUUGUUCGGAUUCACUGGGCGUAAAGGGUGCGUAGGCGGUCGGGUAAGUUUGAUGUGAAAUCUCCGGGCUUAACCCGGAAACUGCAUUGAAUACUAUUCGGCUUGAGGUCUGGAGGGGGGACUGGAAUUCUCGGUGUAGCAGUGAAAUGCGUAGAUAUCGAGAGGAACACCAGUGGCGAAGGCGAGUCCCUGGACAGGUCCUGACGCUGAGGCACGAAAGCCAGGGGAGCAAACGGG